RNAcentral lists this long non-coding RNA (210 nucleotides) under Carica papaya (papaya). RNAcentral describes it as "long non-coding RNA (CPAP_LNC015105)". Lineage: Eukaryota; Viridiplantae; Streptophyta; Magnoliopsida; Brassicales; Caricaceae. The record is from RNAcentral.
UACUAGUAGAUAAAUAAAAAGGGAAAGAUAUUGUUCUUGCUCACUUGAAUAUGAGAUUAGAAUGUUAUUUGGGUUAUUGUCUCUAUAGGUCAAUUUUAGAAAUCUCGCAACGGUGAAUAUAUGCAAUAAAUUGUUUUCUUUAUGAUAAAUAAAUUUAUUAAAUCAAGAGCUCUAUUGGUUGUUUUUAUGAUUUUUACCAAUCUUUAGUUU